RNAcentral lists this long non-coding RNA (2020 nucleotides) under Ananas comosus (pineapple). Its description in RNAcentral is "long non-coding RNA (ACOM_LNC022288)". The record is from RNAcentral. Lineage: Eukaryota; Viridiplantae; Streptophyta; Magnoliopsida; Poales; Bromeliaceae.
CUAUAAUAUGUACUAUAAUUAAAUUAAGAUUGAUAGUAUAUUUCUUUAUUCGUUAAAAAAUAUAAUAUUAAUUAGAAUAUUUUUUUAUCAUCACAUAAUAACUUUUGUUAUUUUAUAUUAUUAUAUUAUCCGUGCAUCGCACGGGUCAAAAACUAGUUAUUUAUAAGUACAAUAUUUUUUUAUUAGGGUUAAUUUCAUACAUGUCCCUGCAAAUAUAGUGAAUAGCAAAUAUAUCCCUACAAAGUUCAACUUUCAUUUGUUAUCCCUACAAAAGUCCUGAUAUUUUCAAAUAUGUCCCUACCGUUAUAAUCCGUUAGAAAAAGUUAGUUAACCAUAGGUUAAAUAUUUAAUCAUAGUUAGUUUUUGACAUUUUUACCCCUUAUAUUAUACUAGUAUGGCUUUUGGAGGGAUAUAUUUGUAAUGGCAAAAUUGAAAAUAUAAAUGAUUCUCUAACGAUUUUCUAAUAGUAACAAACCGAGGGACAUAUUUGAAAACAUUAGGACUUUUACAGGAACAAUAUAUGAAAGUUGAACUUUAUAGAGAUAUAUUUGUUGUCGUUCACUAUGUUUGCAGGAACAUGUAUGAAAUUAAUCUAUUUUUAUUAUAUUCAACCAUACAAGAUGCAUAUAUGUAAGGACUGAGAUUUUUGACAGUGCAACUAAACUCUCUGUUGAUGAUGUUUAUGUGUGUAAUUUAAUUACAUAAGUACUCGUCAAGUUUCAGGAGAAACUGAGCUAAAACGGAGAAGUUACGCGAUUAUUAGUUUUCACUUAAGUGAAUAGUAACUCCGGUUUUUUUGGUGAAACCACGGAGUAGAGCUGGCUUUCGGCGCGUAUCGGACUCCGUUCAUAGCGAUCCAAUAGCUCGUUUUGAACGGUUCAGCUAUUCUGGAACCAAUGGCACUGANCCUCGUGGUAGCGUUUCUUAAAGAAUAAAGGUUUCCGUGUAGGGAACAGUUUUCAAAAGAAUUUUCGUGAAUUUCUAUUUAAACACUGAAUGUAAAACUGUGAUGUGAAUGGUGAAUGUAUGAAUGUAUAGUUAUCUUUAUAUUCAUUUGGUUGUGGUUGUUUCCUGGCUAUACUCUUGUACUUGUGCGACGCCAUGCAAAUACAGGGGAGACUCUAUCCGUGUGAACAGUGGAUUCCCUGUAUUUGUGGCGGAUCUGGCAUACCCUGGGGUCAGGUUUGCAAAAAAAAAAAAAAAAUUUCCGCUGUGUUUUUAACCUAAAGGGACCCCGGGGCGUGACAAUAUAAUUAUAACUACCGCGUUUUCAACUUUAUAUAUUUCCAUCUAGAUCAAUUUACAAUUAUAGCCGGCCAAAUGGCCCCUAGGAGCAAAUCUAGAAUAUUUUUAAGAAAGAAUAUUAACUUUUGCAUCAUUUUAAGCGAUGGGGCAGUAAAAUUGAUGAUUACUACUAUUAAACAUAAUUAUUACUAUUUGAAUUUUCUAGUACUCAAAAUUUAAAAUUUUAAGACAUUGUUUAUUUACACUUUAUUUGUUUGGUUGGGGUAUAAGGGAAAGAAUAAGACCUUACUUCCCCUUGUAUCCAAAUAAAAAAAGAGAGAUGUGGGAACUCCGGGAGAAAGAGAGAGAGAGAGAAUUAUAAAUUUAUUACAAAAUUUAUAAUUUCUAAUUUUAAAUUUACAAUUUACAAUUUUUUAAAUUUUUAAAUUUUUAAAUUUAAAUUUUGUUAUUUUAUAUUUUUUAAAUUUAAAUUUGAUCUUAAAUUUAAAUUUUAAAAUUAAAAUUCUAAAUUUUGAAAUUUACAAUUUAAGAUUUUAAAUUUUAAAAUUCAAAUAUGAAAUUUAAAAAUUCAAAUUUAAAUUUAAUAAGAGGGGUAAUAUUGUUAUUUUUUAUUUAUAACAACCCAUUACUCCUCUUGUUCUAUCUUAUCUAUCCAAACGCUAUAUUUUUUAUUCCCAGAAACAAUCCAAUUUUCAUCCGAACGCAAAAAUAGUCUAGUUUUUAUUUAUACCUGAACUUAUAUUUAUCUUUGAAAUAACGGUUCUUGUUUAAACCC